RNAcentral lists this ribosomal RNA (502 nucleotides) under uncultured bacterium. Its description in RNAcentral is "partial 16S ribosomal RNA". It matches the Rfam family "Bacterial small subunit ribosomal RNA", at positions 355 to 868 of the family's 1533-position model. The record is from RNAcentral.
UGGGGAAUAUUGCACAAUGGGCGAAAGCCUGAUGCAGCGACGCCGCGUGCGGGAUGAAGGCCUUCGGGUUGUAAACCGCUUUUGAUUGGGAGCAAGCGAGAGUGAGUGUACCUUUCGAAUAAGCACCGGCUAACUACGUGCCAGCAGCCGCGGUAAUACGUAGGGUGCAAGCGUUAUCCGGAAUUAUUGGGCGUAAAGAGCUCGUAGGCGGUUUGUCGCGUCUGGUGUGAAAGUCCAUCGCUUAACGGUGGAUCUGCGCCGGGUACGGGCAGGCUAGAGUGCGACAGGGGAGGCUGGAAUUCCCGGUGUAACGGUGGAAUGUGUAGAUAUCGGGAAGAACACCAAUGGCGAAGGCAGGUCUCUGGGUCGUCACUGACGCUGAGGAGCGAAAGCGUGGGGAGCGAACAGGAUUAGAUACCCUGGUAGUCCACGCCGUAAACGGUGGAUGCUGGAUGUGGGGCCCAUUCCACGGGUUCCGUGUCGGAGCUAACGCGUAAGCAUC